GGACCCGCACAAGCGGUGGAUGAUGUGGUUUAAUUCGAUGCAACGCGAAAAACCUUACCCACCUUUGACAUGGCAGGAAGUUUCCAGAGAUGGAUUCGUGCCCGAAAGGGAACCUGCACACAGGUGCUGCAUGGCUGUCGUCAGCUCGUGUCGUGAGAUGUUGGGUUAAGUCCCGCAACGAGCGCAACCCUUGCCAUUAGUUGCUACGAAAGGGCACUCUAAUGGGACUGCCGGUGACAAACCGGAGGAAGGUGGGGAUGACGUCAAGUCCUCAUGGCCCUUAUAGGUGGGGCUACACACGUCAUACAAUGGCUGGUACAGAGGGUUGCCAACCCGCGAGGGGGAGCUAAUCCCAUAAAGCCAGUCGUAGUCCGGAUCGCAGUCUGCAACUCGACUGCGUGAAGUCGGAAUCGCUAGUAAUCGCGGAUCAGAAUGUCGCGGUGAAUACGUUCCCGGGUCUUGUACACACCGCCCGUCACACCAUGGGAGCGGGUUCUGCCAGAAGUAGGUAGCCUAACCGUAAGGAGGGCGCUUACCACGGCAGGGUUCGUGACUGGGGUGAAGUCGUAACAAGGUAGCCGUAUCGGAAGGUGCGGCU
RNAcentral lists this ribosomal RNA (598 nucleotides) under uncultured Janthinobacterium sp. Its description in RNAcentral is "bacterial SSU rRNA". It matches the Rfam family "Bacterial small subunit ribosomal RNA", at positions 917 to 1519 of the family's 1533-position model. Lineage: Bacteria; Pseudomonadati; Pseudomonadota; Betaproteobacteria; Burkholderiales; Oxalobacteraceae. The record is from RNAcentral.